CUCCCCUGGCAAUGAGCAAAGAGACUCCUUGGUGGUGGUGGUCUUCUUAUAUGUAAGUCAGUGGCAGAACAGAUGGCAGUCCUUUGUUCAUCCUAGCUUGAUAUCUGGCUUGGUGAACAAAGCUGAAUUAUGCCUAGGACUCAUAA
This is a small nucleolar RNA of Acomys russatus (golden spiny mouse), 146 nucleotides long. RefSeq annotates it as small nucleolar RNA SNORA48. The transcript has a single exon. Lineage: Eukaryota; Metazoa; Chordata; Mammalia; Rodentia; Muridae. The record is from RefSeq and is a predicted model, not a curated record.